Molecule: ribosomal RNA, 292 nt
Filed under: uncultured prokaryote
Description: partial 16S ribosomal RNA
Rfam family: Bacterial small subunit ribosomal RNA
Source: RNAcentral
GUGUCAGCAGCCGCGGUAAUACGUAGGGGGCGAGCGUUGUCCGGAAUCAUUGGGCGUAAAGAGCGUGUAGGCGGCCCGGUAAGUCCGCUGUGAAAACCCGGGGCUCAACCCCGGGCGUGCAGUGGAAACUGCCGGGCUAGAGGGCGGCAGAGGCGAGUGGAAUUCCCGGUGUAGCGGUGAAAUGCGCAGAUAUCGGGAGGAACACCAGUAGCGAAGGCGGCUCGCUGGGCCGUUCCUGACGCUGAGACGCGAAAGCUAGGGGAGCGAACAGGAUUAGAAACCCCCGUAGUCC